Molecule: ribosomal RNA, 460 nt
Filed under: uncultured bacterium
Lineage: Bacteria
Description: partial 16S ribosomal RNA
Rfam family: Bacterial small subunit ribosomal RNA
Source: RNAcentral
CCUACGGGUGGCAGCAGUGAGGAAUAUUGGUCAAUGGACGAGAGUCUGAACCAGCCAAGUAGCGUGAGGGAUGACUGCCCUCUGGGUUGUAAACUUCUUUUGUAAGGGAAUAAAGCGAGGCACGUGUGCCUUUUUGCAUGUACUUUAUGAAUAAGGAUCGGCUAACUCCGUGCCAGCAGCCGCGGUAAUACGGAGGGUCCGAGCGUUAUCCGGAUUUAUUGGGUUUAAAGGGAGCGUAGAUGGGUUGUUAAGUCAGUUGUGAAAGGUUGCGGCUCAACCGUAAAAUUGCCAUUGAUACUGGCAGUCUUGAGUAUAGUUGAGGUAGGUGGAAUUCGUGGUGUAGCGGUGAAAUGCGUAGAUAUCACGAAGAACCCCGAUUGCGAAGGCAGCUUACUAAACUGUGACUGACAUUGAUGCGCGAAAGUGUGGGUAUCAAACAGGAUUAGAUACCCCAGUAGUC